This 464-nucleotide ribosomal RNA is filed under the name Haptophyta environmental samples. Its description in RNAcentral is "SSU rRNA". It matches the Rfam family "Eukaryotic small subunit ribosomal RNA", at positions 432 to 900 of the family's 1831-position model. Lineage: Eukaryota; Haptophyta. The record is from RNAcentral.
GCGCGUAAAUUGCCCGAAUCCUGACACAGGGAGGUAGUGACAAGAAAUAACAAUACAGGGCUACUUUAGUCUUGUAAUUGGAAUGAGUACAAUUUACAUCUCUUCACGAGGAUCAAUUGGAGGGCAAGUCUGGUGCCAGCAGCCGCGGUAAUUCCAGCUCCAAAAGCGUAUAUUAAAGUUGUUGCAGUUAAAACGCUCGUAGUCGGAUUUCGGGGCGAGCCUGCCGGUCUGCCGAUGGGUAUGCACUGGCAGGGUCGUCCUUCCUUCCGGAGACUGUCCCUACUCUUAACUGAGCGGGGUCGGGAGACGGAUCGUUUACUUUGAAAAAAUCAGAGUGUUUCAAGCAGGCAGCUCGCUCUUGCAUGGAUUAGCAUGGGAUAAUGAAAUAGGACUUUGGUGCUAUUUUGUUGGUUUCGAACACCGAAGUAAUGAUUAACAGGGACAGUCAGGGGCACUCGUAUUCC